GCAGAUCUCCACCGUUGGAUGAACGAUCUCAGAAUUUGAAUCCACGCGUUGGAUUAAAGUCGCCCCGAAACCCGGAAAAGCUGUUGGCGCGUGUUGAGCGUGUAAGGGGACAGGCCGAACCUCGAGACGCUGUGGCAGACAGCUUUAGCAGAAAGUGAUUUGCUUUCCGUAAAUCACGGAAGAGACGUGUCGUGGCACGUGGAGUGUACCGACAGUUUGUUGUUAUUCUAUCGCUUAUGAUAGAAUAAAUGAAAGAAGUUGCAUGGAUAGUAACGAGAGCAGCUGGUGCUCUAGUGGUUGAAGAGCAAGGCUCUUGUACAAGAGGUCAGAGGUUCGAACCUUGCCUCUCGUUUAUUUUUAUUAUGUUCGCUUAUGACAUAAUAAGUAUAACAUUUGUACACAUUAUAUUAAGCACAGCUUGUGCUCCAGUGGUUGGGGGACAAAGGUUUCGUGCGGCAGGUUGAGGUUUCGAACCUUGCCUUCCCCGUUAUUUUAUUUAUGUCACUUAUGACAUAAUAAAUAUAACACGUGAGCAUAUAUUAAUGAAGGCAGCUCUUGCUUCAGUGGUUGGGAGCAAAACCUUCGUGUUCGAGGUCGGGAGUUCGAACCUUACCUCUUACAAAUAUUUUUGGAUCUCGUAUAUGCUUGAUAUACGGACGUAUAUACGGUAUGUACGGUAUACAUACGUAUAUACGGUCUGUACGGUAUGCAUAAGUAUAUACAGUUGUAUGGUAUGCAUACGUAUAUACGGUCUGUACGGUAUGUAUACGUAUAUACGGUAUGUACAAUUUCAUACCGUAGCCGAGCUAAAAAGUUGUGGGCCGAAUAGUAGGCCCGAAUAGUAAGCCCAAAUUUGGUUGGGCCUAUUCAAAAUGCGUUUGGUUCGGCCGAUUGGUAGGCCCAAAUAGUAAGCCCAAUUGUUCGGCCGAUUUGUAGGCCCAAAUAGUAAGCCCAAUUGUUCGGCCGAUUGGUAGGCACAAAUAGUAAGCCCAAUUGUUCGGCCCGAAUGGUAGGCCCAAAUGUUAAGCCCAAUUGUUCGGCCCAAAUGGUAGGCCCAAAUGUUAAACCCAAAUUGGUUCGGGCCGGUUCGAAAUGUGGAUGGUUCGGUUUCUUCGGCCCAAUUGGCCAGCCCUAAUGCUUAGCCCAAGGAUUGAGCAAGCCCAAGUCAUCAUCACUGGGUGUCAGAUUUUAUUGGCAUGCUUUUGGGGAUGAUUUGUUUUGAGUGAUGCAUCUCUAUUGUUGUGUAGAAUAGUGCAUGCUUAAGUUUUACUAUAGAGAUUUACCGUGAUGCUAAUUGAGUAGCGAAACGCUUUGUGAGAAUGUUUACUGUGCUUGUAUGCCAGUACAGGAUGAUGAUCUAUGUGAAGAUCUAUGUGAUGAUCUAUGAGAUGAUCUAUGUGAAGAUCUAUGUGAGGAUCCAUGUGGUGAUUUUGUGUGAGUUUACUUUUGUGAUGAAAGAAUUUGUGGCCUUAGGAAUGUAUUUUUAUACAAAGGGCUGUGGCUUUGUAGAUUACUACAGCUUUGGAAAGGAUGGAGAUUCGAUGGUUAGGUUAACCGUAAUCGAGAGCAAUUAACUUGCGCUUAAAUUUCGGGACGAAAUUUCUUUAAGGAGGGUGGAUUGUAAUACCCGAAAAAUUCAAGUUAAUUUCCGAUGACGUUUUGGAAAUGAUUUCGUGGUCGUGGACACGAGUACGAAGCUUAGAGGAGUGUGGAAUUAGUUCGAACGAUUUUAUUUUGAAAACUGAACGUUUUAGGGGGGUCAAAGGAGUUGACUUUUUAUACAUUGGGAAAUUGGGAAAACUUCCUUCAUGAAAGUUGUAGAGCGCGUCGAUACGAGUUCGUGGACAUAUGGAACGUAAUAUUCGGAGUUCGUAUGAAUAAGUUACGAAUAUUUGAAAAUUGGGAUUUUCUAUAAAUAUGAAAAAAAAAUCCGAAUAUUGCAAAUGAGGACAGAAUUUCUGGAACUCCAGAAAUUUCUCCCCAUUUCUCUCCCGAGCCCAGCCGCGACCCCCUCCCUUCGUCACCUUCGUUCUUCCUCAUCCGGCCACCGAUUGAUGUGAAACAAAGUGGGUUUUUCUGGUCUCGACCCCCUUUACGAGUUUGUAGAAGAAAUCGAAGUGAAAUACGAGCUGUAUGAGGCUCUACAAGGUCGAGAAGAGAGCCUCGUCGGAGACGAAAUCGCUCUUCCCCACUUUUUCUGGGCUCUACUUUGUCUGGCCAUAUCUUCCUCUACAGGCCUCCGAUCGACCUGAUUCCAAAAGCAAUUUUUCUCACCGUGAAGUUUUCUACAACUUUCCAGAAGACAUCGACUUGAGAUAACCAUCGUGGUGGCCGCUAGAAGACCGAGAAGCCGCACAGCCGAGCUGGAAAUCGUCUUCCUUCGCCACCUUGGUUCUCCCAGCUCCGGCCACUAUAGCUCGAGUUCUUUGAGGGCUUUUCUAGCCCAGAGGAAGUAGAAGCUAUCCCCAAGAAGGCUUGCAGCGAUUUAAUCCGGGGUGAUCGAAUUUUGAAGAUUGGGAAACUAGGGUUCUUCGGGUUUCAAAACUUGCGAGGUGAUUGACGGUCUCCCUUGGGUGAACGAUUUCGGUGUGUAUUGUGUUGAAUUGAAGACGCAGCGGGAAUAUCGAGCGGGUAAUCCUGCAGGUCAGGAGAAUCAGGACGGUGAUCGUGCGGGUUAGAGAAUUUGUUUUAGUUUUACAGCAAUUGUAAUUGUGAGGUGAGUUAUGCUCAUUUGAGCCUUACAAUAUAAUUUGGUGAGAGUGUGCUGUAAUAAACAAAUUUGAGAUUUGGUUUAUGUAAUAUCGAGCGAUGUGAGGUGUGGUUGUUUUGAGAAAAAAAAAUUCAGGUUGUAUUUAUGUGAGUUGUAUUAAUUCAUGUUUCGGAUUUUGAUUUGUAUUUAAAAUUCGGGGCGUGACAGUUUGGUAUCAGAGCGUAAGGUGCAUAUUUGGUGAUGUGUCAAUACCUUCCGAGUGAUGGCCCGGCUGCAGCGGAUCCCCAUCGUGUGCUCUUCGGUAUUGGC
Rosa rugosa (rugosa rose) is the source of this 3019-nucleotide long non-coding RNA. RefSeq lists it as uncharacterized. NCBI's taxonomy places the organism in Eukaryota, Viridiplantae, Streptophyta, Magnoliopsida, Rosales, Rosaceae. The transcript has 3 exons. The record is from RefSeq and is a predicted model, not a curated record.